Long non-coding RNA from Pollicipes pollicipes, 439 nucleotides. RefSeq lists it as uncharacterized. NCBI's taxonomy places the organism in Eukaryota, Metazoa, Arthropoda, Thecostraca, Pollicipedomorpha, Pollicipedidae. The record is from RefSeq and is a predicted model, not a curated record. The transcript is spliced from 3 exons.
GUAGCGUGGGCUCGUGUCAGUUGCGCAGGACAUUUUGGAGUUUCCACUGAUACCUAAUCAUGAUCAAAUUGAGCUCAGAAGCGAAGGACAGACUUAGCAUAGUUCUCAACAUCGGGAAGACUAUUUUCCACUGGGGGUUUGUCCCAACGGUUCUUUAUCUAGGCUUCAAGAAAGGAGCUGACCCAGGAAUGCCUGAAAUCACACCAUUGAGCUUACUGUGGCAGUGAGACAGUACGCUCCCGGCGGACCCCGCCUCCGCCGCCGCCGCCGCGCGUGAGGGGUCCCCCGGGCUUCCGCGGGCCUUCAGGACAGAGGACCGGCGCACCGCUCCCUCCGGCCACCGCUGGCUCCGAAGCAGUGAUGUCCUCGCUGUGGUGUUACGUCGCGCCAUGUGUCAUCUCCUAUCGUGAACCGUCAAUAAAAUCCGUAUGAAUGUGAA